This 253-nucleotide ribosomal RNA is filed under the name uncultured bacterium. RNAcentral's name for it is "partial 16S ribosomal RNA". It matches the Rfam family "Bacterial small subunit ribosomal RNA", at positions 524 to 776 of the family's 1533-position model. The record is from RNAcentral.
UACGUAGGGUGCAAGCGUUGUCCGGAAUUAUUGGGCGUAAAAAGCUCGUAGGCGGUCUGUCGCGUCGGCUGUGAAAACUCGGGGCUCAACCCCGAGCCUGCAGCCGAUACGGGCAGACUAGAGUUCGGUAGGGGAGACUGGAAUUCCUGGUGUAGCGGUGAAAUGCGCAGAGAUCGGAAGGAACACCAGUGGCGAAGGCGACUGUCUGGCCAGAUACUGACGCUGAGGCGCGAAAGCGUGGGGAGCAAACAGG